UACAGAGGGUGCGAGCGUUGUUCGGAAUUACUGGGCGUAAAGCGUGCGCAGGCGGUUAUGCAAGACAGAUGUGAAAUCCCCGGGCUCAACCUGGGAACUGCAUUUGUGACUGCAUAGCUAGAGUACGGUAGAGGGGGAUGGAAUUCCGCGUGUAGCAGUGAAAUGCGUAGAUAUGCGGAGGAACACCGAUGGCGAAGGCAAUCCCCUGGACCUGUACUGACGCUCAUGCACGAAAGCGUGGGGAGCAAACAGG
Molecule: ribosomal RNA, 253 nt
Filed under: uncultured bacterium
Lineage: Bacteria
Description: partial 16S ribosomal RNA
Rfam family: Bacterial small subunit ribosomal RNA
Source: RNAcentral